Long non-coding RNA from Equus caballus (horse), 6117 nucleotides. NCBI's taxonomy places the organism in Eukaryota, Metazoa, Chordata, Mammalia, Perissodactyla, Equidae. The record is from Ensembl.
AAUCAGGUGCAGGAGAUUAUCCUGGCUUAUUUGUGUGGGCCCAAUGCACUCUCAAGGGUCUAUAUAAAUGAAAGGGGAGGGUCAGGGUCAGAGAGAGAUUUGAAGAUACUAUGUCACCGGUUCUGAAGAUGGAGAAAGGGGCCACGAGCCAAGGCAGGCAGGCAGCCUCCAGAAGCUGGAAAAGGCAAGGAGACAGAUUCUCCUCUGGGAGCCCCCGGAGGGAACCAGCCCUGCCAACACCUUGAUUUGAACUCAGUGAGACCCAUUUUAGGCUUCUGACCUCCAUAAUUGAAAGGCAUGAAGAGGUUUGUCAUAUUAUCCUUGUGGAAACAAUGAAGAAAUGUGGGCUGCGUGAUGGACCUACUUGGAGGAUUCCUAACUGGUGACUCACUGUACCCAAUGAGUGGCUCAGAUGAAGAUGUAGGUGUCCAGCUCAUCACACUUCCAGAUGACACAAAGAGGAACAGGAUCAUUAAUAGGUUGGAUGACAGAAUUGAUGUUCGAAAUGAUCUUGACAGGCUGGAACGAUGACCCUAUAUGAACGAAUGACAUUUGGAGGAAGGCGGAUGCGGAGUCCUGCAGGCAAGUUGAAAAGAUUAGAAGCACAAAUAUGGGGCUGAAAGCCCUGGUUUAAGAAUGAAACCCUUGAAAAAGACCAAGUUUAUUUGACAGCUAAUUCAUUGUGAAUCAAUUGUGUGGCACAGCCAGAAGUCUGAUGACUCCCAGGCUCCCGAGCUGCCUUAGUAGACGCAGAAAGCUUGGAAUACGGAAGGUCAACGGUCCCACUAGGUUCCGUAUUUUGCUGCGUUCAGGGCUGAGAACCCUUCUUAAGAGUAAUGUCCAGGGGAGGGCCACCCCCAUGGUAAAGGAUCUAAACACUAAGUCCUAUGAGUAGAGUGACCAUAAAAUUUAUUACCUAAACUGGGACACAUCUGAGAGUGACAGAAAGUGUUAUUAACAACUGCAAUGUAUAAUAGUUCUACCUUUGAGGCAUCAUUGGAAGAACCAGGACUUUUUAUACUGGAGAAGAAAAGAAUUCAAAUAACCAAAUGGUUGUCAUAUGAGAAGGAGAAUAGGUUUCUAUGGCCUAUUAUUUUUCAAAAUGAUUGUUUAAAAAGGAACACCUGCUCAACGAAAAAACUUCAAAUGAUUGUCAACUCUCUUCUGUCAAAUGGGGCUGAUACUAGUAUCCACCUCAAAUUGUUAUGAGGAUUAAAUGAAUGUAAGGUAGUUAGAACAGUGCAUGGCAGAAGAAUUUAUAAGAUAAAAAUAAAAAAUAAAACUGUUUAAAAGAAAAAAGUCCUUCCAUCCUUGUGUGCCUCAAAGGUAGCCACAUUAUUCAUUUGUUGUGUGAAUUUAUAUAUUUUUUUUAAUUCUGAAAAUUUAAAACUAAUAUGCUUAUGAAGCAAGCAUAACAAAAUCUUGCUAAUGGCUAACUGAGUGAUUAGAAUGUGGGAGUUCAUUGUACUAUUCUCUCUAUUUUUAUGUAUCUUUGAAAUUUUCAUUAAAAUAGUUAUUUACAUAGCUCAAAGAGCAAACUAACACAAGGUUAUAGCUAUUCCCUACUAGCUUCUCAUAGGCUACCAUUUUAAAAUUGUUUAGCUGUAUCUUCUGAUAUUUACUUCCCUAUUUCCAUUGAAAUAUCAUGUUUGUGUUGCUAUUUUUGACUUUUCAUUUUUUAGAUAUUAUCUAUUGACUAUUAUGGAAGAUGAGGACUGAGCUUUCUUAUACCAUCAUCUAUAUUCACUUUACCUUUGUUCAUUCUCUCAAUACACUUAUAUCACAAUUUGGAGUAAAAUCAAUAGUCUGUGUCUGUGUAUAUAAAUAUGUAAAUAUUUCUUUUCCUCUCUCUCUCUCUUUUUUUUUUUUUUACAGCUGAGUCAUGUUGUGACUUUCAUCACAUUUUAUUUCUUAUAUAACUUUUUGUUUUUCUUGAAGUUAAUAAUUGCCUCAGGUUUUUUUUUGGUUGUUUGCUAAAUUUUCUAGUUAUUUAUUACUAAUUCAUGUCCAAAUUCCCAAUAGAAAUAUGAAACAUUUUAUUUUUGUCAAGCAUGUUUUGUAAUCUAUUGUUACCAUAUUUUUGUUGGUAGUAUCCUUUCUGGACCUACAAUUUUUGCAUUCAAGGUCAUUGCUAACACAAAUGACCAUUUAGAGUAAAUUUUUUUAAAAAGGCACCCCCUCUGAACAGAUGGAUUGUAAAAAAGGAACUUCCUGGGAUAACAAAUUACAGAAUGGUGCUCUCUUUGGGAAGACCCAUUAGUAAGAGUGUCUUCUUCCUCUAGGGUUGAUGCAACUUUUCAUCAAGAAUGUGGCUUGGCAAGCAGAGUGCAAGAUAGAUUUUUAGCUCUCAUUUAUGGCCCCCAAGCUAGACACUUUUGGUCAGGGAACAACCUGCACAACUGUAUGUGGUGUACCUGUUCCUGUUCGUAUCUGUACUAUUUACUCCAUGGAUAUGUUGCACAAUUGUCGUUAUGAAAUUUUCCUUUUCCAUCAUUUUGGGAAUUCCCCUCAUCCCUCUCAUGUGUUAGAUCUUUUGCUUACUGGGUCCCAAGUAUUCCUCUUUCCUGAUUUAUUCAUUCAUUUUUGAUGGAGAACAUUCUUCAGUAAUUUUUAAAGAGAGGAUGCAUGGGAAUUUUGGGGGACUUUGGAAGUGUAAGAAACACUUUACUUUAGACUCAUACUUGAUUGAUACUUUAGCUGGGUAUAGCAUUCUAGAUUUGAAAUCAUUUUUCCUAAAAGUUUUGAAGGUAUUAUUCCAUUAUCUAAUAGUUUCCAUUGUUGAUGUUGAGCGGUUUGCUACCAUUCUUACUUCCAAACUGUUGUAUUUAACCCUUCUUUCUCCUCUCUCUCUCAUUCUGGAUGAUUCUCUUUACCCCUUGGUGUUCUAAAAUUUUAUAAGUAUAUACUUUGGUAUGGGAAUUUGUAAAUCCUUCAUGCUGGGUAUUUGGUAGGCCCCUUCAAUCUAGAAAUUCAUAUCCUUCACUUUUGGGAAAUUUGUGAAAUUACUUUUUUAUAAUUUUCUCACCUCCAUUUUCUUUGUCCACUUUUUCUGAGACUCCUACUAGUCAGAUGUGUAUACUUUCUCUCUUUAUCCUCUAGUUUUCUAAUUUUUUCUUUCCUAGUUCCAUCUCUGUGGCUAUUCAUUCUACUUUCUGGAUGUGUUUUCAAUUUUACCUUGAAAAACUUCUAUUAAUUAUUUUUACUUUUAAUUUAUAUAUAUGCAUAUCUACAUACAUGUAUAUAUUAAUUUCCAGGGGGUCAAAAAUUAUUAUUAUUCUCUGAAUGUACCUUAAAAAUACACCCUGGUUUUGUUUCAUGGAUGUGAGUUUCUUAUACUUCUUUGACACUAUUAAUUAUAGGCGGAUUUUUUGUUUUAAGUUUUCUUCUCUUCCCUGAAUUGUCUUUGAUUCUUUCAAGUUCUUUUUCUUGUGAUAGUUAAUUCUGAUCUUUAUCUCUCAUGUUGGAAGCUUGUUUUAAACCCUUAAUAUCCUUUCCUGUUCAUCAGUACACAAACAUAAGGCAGUAAAAGACUGCUUGAACUCUGUGUGCAAGUUUGGGAUCUGUUGAUUAGUAGACAUCACUGAAAAGUGAUAUGGUCGAGACCCAGGUAUUUUGUGAGAGACCCCAAUUGCCAGAAUCUAGAGGUAUUUCCUUUUGGGUUGGCCAGUUUCUUCAAAAUCUCCAGCUGGACAGCUCAGCACUUGAAGAUAGUUCUCAGCUUUCUGAAAGUCAACACGGAAGAGAUGGCUGCCCCCAAAUUUAACCAGCUUAUUUUAACAUAACAAUGGUUUUUAAAUUUUUUAUUAUUGAGUAUUUCAAACAUAUAUAAAAUAAAGAGGAUAGUAUAACACAUCCAGCUCUAACAAUGAUCAAUUUAUAGCCAGUCUUGUUCCACAUUGUUCCCAACCACUUCACCCCCCCCAAGAGCAUUUUAUAGCAAAUCUCAGACAAUACAUCAUUUAAUCUGUAAAUAUUUCAGCUUAUAUUUCUAAAAUUAAAAAGACUUUAAAAAAUGGCCAUAGUAUGACUAGCACAUCUAAAAGACUUCAUGAUGCGCAGUUAACGCCGUGCUUACAUUUCCUUGGUUACCUCAUAACUAUUCUUCCUGUUCUUCCUCCUCUUCCUCUUUUUAACUACUUCCAGAAUUCAAAUAUAUUGCAAUUAGUUGAUAUGUUUCUUAAGUUUCUUUUAGUCUAUUUAUUUUCCCCCUUGUAGUUUCUUUCUUGAGGAAGCCAGAUUAUUUGCAUGAAAGUUUCUCACAGCCUGGGGAAAUUACACAAGCAAGAGCCUAAAUCAGAUUGCAUCCUUGUGGUUCCUCUGUUCAUAGUAUUUUCUGUAAAAUGGUAGUUACAUCUAGAGGCUUGAUCAGAUUCAGGUUUGAUUUUUUGGAAACACUAUUUAAUAGAAUUUUUCGUUUUCUUUUUUUGAGAUUUUUUUGUAUUUUCAUCAAGAGGCACAUAAUGUUCUGUUGUUUCUCUUUUUCUGAAAUUAAUAGCCAUUGAUGAUAGUUGCCUAGGUCUAUUAUUCUAUUAAGGAUUGCAAAAUGUUGAUAUUCUAACUCUAUCCAUUCCUUCUCUAUUUGUUAGCUGGAAGACUUCUAUAAAGAGAAAUUUCCCCUCACCCACUAUUUGAUUUUCUUGAGGUACAAUUCAUAUAAGAAAGGCAGUAGAAAUACUUGAUUCUUUCUCUUUAUUUAUCAGUUUCCCAAAUGAUGAGUUGGUUCCCUAACAUCCUCCAAAGAAGAUCAAUAAGGUUUUUCUUUUAAGUAUAGUUAUGUACUCAUGGACUCAAAUAUAUUUGAGGAGUUUCAAUCAGUUGUAGUUGUUAUAUCCACUGAUGCUCGAUUAUCUCAUCAUUGGUCAAUGCGAGCCUCUAAUUGGCACUUAAGUCCUUUGACAUGAAUCUAGUAGUCUUUCAUAACUUCCUUGCUUUCCGUUAUGACAAGAUUUCCAGAAUUAUCUGGUAUAUUUCCUGUCUCAGACUUGGCAUCUUACCUUUCCCCAAAGAGUCCUGGUUCCUUUUAGUGCAAAAUGGUAUUUAAAGACCACAAUCUGGAGACUAGAGGUGUUUAUUGCUACUGAGUUCAUCAGUUUCUUGUCCUUUUCAGUGGACAGAGCCAGGAAUUUUUUUUUUUUUUUUUGCUGAGGAAGAUUCAUCUUGAGCUAACAUCUGCUGCCGAUCUUCCUCUUUUUGUAAGUGAGCUGCCGCUACAGCAUGGCCACUGACAGACGAGUGGUGUAGGUCCACGUCCAGGAAGUGAACCCAAGCCACCGAAGCAGAGUGCACCAAACUUAACCACUAGGCCACCAGGACUGGCCCAGAAAUACAUUUUUAAAAAAGAUAAAAUGCAUCAAGAGUCAUUACUAAUAAUUAAAUCCAGGACUACAGGGAUUUCACUUAUAUUCAUUGAUCUUUCAUUUUGUUUUGUUUGUUUGUUUCUCCCACACCAAAAAACACCAAGAACACUAAUACCAUUACUUAUUUGCUUUAUUAGUGUAUAUCCCACUAGGGGAAUGCAUAUACAGUCAAUUAAUAGGUUUUAAAUGACUUGAAAUAGUUUUUCUCUAUGUGGUUAUGGUACCAAAUCAAUAGAUAGUUAAGUUCAUUUGUUUCAUUUUGCUUUAGCUUUUUCUUACGUAUUUACUUAAUUUUAUUGUUAUUAUGUAAAAUAUUUACAUGAUUCUAAAGUCAAAUCUACAAAAUAAGAUAUAAUCAGGGAUGUCUGCCUUCUACCCUGUCCUCCAUGUUGUUUCCUCCGCUCUUCAAUAGAUAAACAUUAAAAAAACCUUUUUGGUUUAUCUUUCCAUUUUGUAAAAUGUAAGUAAAUAAGUAUAUGUAUUCAUAUUCCUCCUUUCUUUCUUAGAUAAGUGGUUGCCUAUUGUACGCAUUUUUAUCCACCUUAAUAUUGGUCUUUUAAUAAAAUUUAUAUCUAGGAAUAUGCUGCAUGUUUACGUUGUGGCUCAGCCUGCUCCGUAGUUUGCUUCUUACCUACGGACACACACUUCUUAAAGCAGGUACCCAAUGGCAAGGGCAUGGAUGUGCUUUAAAGGGAAAUGAGCCUGGGUUUGAAUUCCAGCUCUACCCCUUACUUGCUGUGUGACUUUGGGCAAAUAUGUA